This 509-nucleotide ribosomal RNA is filed under the name uncultured bacterium. Its description in RNAcentral is "partial 16S ribosomal RNA". The record is from RNAcentral.
GGAGUUAGCCGGUGCUUCUUCUGUGAGUGAUGUCCUUCCUGCCGGCUAUUAACCCGCAGGCCUUCUUCCUCACUGAAAGUGCUUUACAACCCGAAGGCCUUCUUCACACACGCGGCAUGGCUGGAUCAGGGUUGCCCCCAUUGUCCAAUAUUCCCCACUGCUGCCUCCCGUAGGAGUCUGGGCCCGUGUCUCAGUCCCAGUGUGGCUGAUCAUCCUCUCAGACCAGCUACGGAUCGUCGCCUUGGUGAGCCGUUACCUCACCAACCAGCUAAUCCGACAUAGGCUCAUCCGAUAGCGCGAGGCCCGAAGGUCCCCCGCUUUCCCCCGUAGGGCGUAUGCGGUAUUAGCCUGGGUUUCCCCAGGUUAUCCCCCACUACCCGGGCAGAUUCCUAUGCAUUACUCACCCGUCCGCCGCUCGCCACCAGGGAGCAAGCUCCCCGUGCUGCCGCUCGACUUGCAUGUGUUAGGCCUGCCGCCAGCGUUCAAUCUGAGCCAUGAUCAAACUCUGA